CUAAAUAGUAAAUGCUACACGGGCUACCGGAAAGGCGUUUUGAGCGG
RNAcentral lists this small RNA (47 nucleotides) under Archaeoglobus fulgidus. Lineage: Archaea; Methanobacteriati; Methanobacteriota; Archaeoglobi; Archaeoglobales; Archaeoglobaceae. The record is from RNAcentral.